GUGGGGAAUAUUGCGCAAUGGGGGAAACCCUGACGCAGCGACGCCGUGUGAGGGAAGAAGGCUUUCGGGUCGUAAACCUCUGUCAGAAAGGAAGAACCUCCCAAGUCCGAAUAGGACUUGGGACUGACGGUACUUUCAAAGGAAGCACCGGCUAACUCCGUGCCAGCAGCCGCGGUAAUACGGAGGGUGCAAGCGUUAAUCGGAAUCACUGGGCGUAAAGCGCGCGUAGGCCGCUUUGUAAGUCGGACGUGAAAGCCCUCGGCUCAACCGGGGAACUGCGUUCGAUACUGCGAGGCUUGAGUCCUGGAGAGGGUGGCGGAAUUCCGGGUGUAGGAGUGAAAUCCGUAGAUAUCCGGAGGAACACCGGUGGCGAAGGCGGCCACCUGGACAGGUACUGACGCUGAGGCGCGAAAGCGUGGGGAGCAAACAGGAUUAGAUACCCCAGUAGUCC
This 451-nucleotide ribosomal RNA is filed under the name uncultured bacterium. RNAcentral's name for it is "partial 16S ribosomal RNA". It matches the Rfam family "Bacterial small subunit ribosomal RNA", at positions 354 to 796 of the family's 1533-position model. The record is from RNAcentral.